GACGAACGCUGGCGGCGUGCCUAAUACAUGCAAGUCGAACGCAUUUUCUUUCACCGUAGCUUGCUACACCGAAAGAAAAUGAGUGGCGAACGGGUGAGUAACACGUGGGUAACCUGCCCAUCAGCGGGGGAUAACACUUGGAAACAGGUGCUAAUACCGCAUAAUUCCAUUUACUGCAUGGUAGAUGGAUGAAAGGCGCUUUUGCGUCACUGAUGGAUGGACCCGCGGUGUAUUAGCUAGUUGGUGGGGUAACGGCCUACCAAGGCUGCGAUGCAUAGCCGACCUGAGAGGGUGAUCGGCCACACUGGGACUGAGACACGGCCCAGACUCCUACGGGAGGCAGCAGUAGGGAAUCUUCGGCAAUGGACGCAAGUCUGACCGAGCAACGCCGCGUGAGUGAAGAAGGGUUUCGGAUCGUAAAACUCUGUUGUUAGAAAAGAACAAGGAUGAGAGUGGAAAGUUCAUCCCUUGACGGUAUCUAACCAGAAAGCCACGGCUAACUACGUG
RNAcentral lists this ribosomal RNA (507 nucleotides) under uncultured bacterium. RNAcentral's name for it is "partial 16S ribosomal RNA". It matches the Rfam family "Bacterial small subunit ribosomal RNA", at positions 28 to 507 of the family's 1533-position model. The record is from RNAcentral.